This 253-nucleotide ribosomal RNA is filed under the name uncultured bacterium. RNAcentral describes it as "partial 16S ribosomal RNA". It matches the Rfam family "Bacterial small subunit ribosomal RNA", at positions 524 to 776 of the family's 1533-position model. The record is from RNAcentral.
CACGUAGGGGGCGAGCGUUGUCCGGAUUCAUUGGGCGUAAAGCGCGCGCAGGCGGCUCGGAAAGUCGGGUGUGAAAACUCGGGGCUCAACCCCGGGCGUGCAUCCGAUACUGCCGGGCUUGAGGCAGGUAGGGGAGAUCGGAAUUCCUGGUGUAGCGGUGAAAUGCGCAGAUAUCAGGAGGAACACCGGUGGCGAAGGCGGAUCUCUGGGACGGUACUGACGCUGAGACGCGAAAGCGUGGGGAGCGAACAGG